GAUGAACGCUAGCUACAGGCUUAACACAUGCAAGUCGAGGGGAAACGGCAUCGAAAGCUUGCUUUUGAUGGGCGUCGACCGGCGCACGGGUGAGUAACGCGUAUCCAACCUGCCCAUCACUUGGGAAUAACCUUGCGAAAGUAAGACUAAUGCCCAAUGACAUCCCACGAAGGCAUCCGAAUGGGAUUAAAGAUUUAUCGGUGAUGGAUGGGGAUGCGUCUGAUUAGCUUGUUGGCGGGGUGACGGCCCACCAAGGCAACGAUCAGUAGGGGUUCUGAGAGGAAGCUCCCCUACAUUGGAGCCACGACACGGUCCAAACUCGUACGGGAGGCAGCAGUAAGGAAUACUAAGCGAGGAACGAGAGCCUGAACCAGCCAAGUAGCUUACAGGAUGACGGCCCUAUGAGUGGUAAACUGCUUUUAUAAGAGAAUAGAGUGAGUCACGGGUGACUUUUUGCAUGUACCUUAUGAAUAAGGCCCGGCUAAUUCCGUG
Molecule: ribosomal RNA, 492 nt
Filed under: uncultured bacterium
Lineage: Bacteria
Description: partial 16S ribosomal RNA
Rfam family: Bacterial small subunit ribosomal RNA
Source: RNAcentral